UACAUUUCCCGUGGGCAUAUGCGCUGGCGGAGGCGAAGAGCACAGAGAGCACGCGCGUCUCUCCUCCGAUCGCUGGUCCUUGGAAGCACACAGAGCAUGCGCAGUCGCCCUCAUGCUAGUGCUCCCCAGUGGUUGAGGCGGGCACUGUGCAAACGGAGCCUACACGUCACUGCUGGAGUUGCUGUCCGACUCCCUCAGCAGUAGGUGACACUGCAGGGCGCAUGACCUCGAGGAGCCGUUCCCCAGCCUGGGCAGGGUUACACGAUGUCUAAACGCUGAACGAGAAAGUAAUGUGCUCCCCCAACAUAUCCCCUUAAGGAGGGCUGCGGGGAGUUCCCGGCUAUACCUCAGUUAACAACGCCAGUGCCAUAAUCCAUCCUUGUCCAUCUCAUCUGAUCCGUCGAGACCUGGAAGCAGCUGCCGCCCUAGGUGCUGGGUGCCCAUGCGCUCCUCAGGAGGAUAAUUGUCAGAAGAACAGGAAUGAGAGUCGUGCCUACCGGGUGACUUUGAAAAGUUCCUACAAGUUGAGGAAGCCAACUUGACCAAGUGUGUGAGAGGGCUGGGUUUCCAGAAGAUCCACCUCCAGUAGUUGAUGGAAACUACGCUGCUGAGGAUGGCCUUGAACCGUUGAUCCAUCGGUCUUCACCUCGACAGUGCACAGAUUACAAGCCUGCUCCACCACAUGUGGUUUCUAUGCAGUGCUUUGGGCUGGAAACCAGGAUUUAUUAAUCUGCAUUAGGCAAGCACUCUACCAACUGAGAGCUACAUCCUCAGCCCAAGACUAUAUUAAGACUGACUUUUGUUGAGAUCAAUUUGAUUUUCAUUUGUGUGUGUAUACUGGGCCAGGGAGGCCUAUCCUGUCCCCUGGAACUGGAGUUCCAUGUGGUCAUGAGCAACACGAUUUGAAUGCUGGGAACUGAAAGUGGGUCCUCUGGAAGAGCAGUAAAAGCUCUUAACCACUGAGCCAUCUCUUCAGCCCCUUACAAUUGCUUUUAUCUUUGGGUAGUUUUGCAAUGUUCUUGGUGUGUUUUUUUUUUAUUUGAAAUUUUUAUUUCGUUUAAUCAUGUGAAAGCUGUAUUCCACCGUUGUGUGUACUUAAUAAAAACUUAACACACACAA
This is a long non-coding RNA of Mesocricetus auratus (golden hamster), 1119 nucleotides long. RefSeq lists it as uncharacterized. The record is from RefSeq and is a predicted model, not a curated record. Lineage: Eukaryota; Metazoa; Chordata; Mammalia; Rodentia; Cricetidae. The transcript is spliced from 2 exons.